This 231-nucleotide ribosomal RNA is filed under the name uncultured bacterium. RNAcentral's name for it is "partial 16S ribosomal RNA". It matches the Rfam family "Bacterial small subunit ribosomal RNA", at positions 103 to 334 of the family's 1533-position model. The record is from RNAcentral.
CGGGUGAGUAACGCGUGGGUAACCUGCCUCAUACAGGGGGAUAACAGUUGGAAACGACUGCUAAUACCGCAUAAGCGCACAGGAUUGCAUGAUCCAGUGUGAAAAACUCCGGUGGUAUGAGAUGGACCCGCGUCUGAUUAGCCAGUUGGCGGGGUAACGGCCCACCAAAGCGACGAUCAGUAGCCGACCUGAGAGGGUGACCGGCCACAUUGGGACUGAGACACGGCCCAA